AGCGGGUGGUAAACUCCAUCUAAGGCUAAAUACGACCACGAGACCGAUAGCGAACAAGUACCGUGAGGGAAAGUUGAAAAGCACUUUGAAGAGAGAGUUCAAGAGUACGUGAAACCGUUUAGGGGUAAACCUGAGAAACCCGAAAGGUCGAAGGGAGAAAUUCAUUCGCGUUUCGUAGCAGGCGUCCGGCGAUCGAGCGACGGAAAGGCGUUCGCGUCUUUCCGCGCCUUUUGUCGGCGCGAACCGGCAACGAACGCGUGCACUUUUCUCCCGGUAGGACGUCGUGAUCCGUCGGGUGUCGGUCUACGGCUCGCGGUGGAGCCCGUUCGUCGUCGUUCUUCGACGUACGGACGGACCCGCGUGUCCUGGCCGACUCGCUCGACGGUAUACGAAAGGUUAAAGGCCGCUCUCUCUAGGAGCGUUCGGCUCGCGGCAAGCGCGUCAGCCGCGUCGGCGAUCGGACCGAGUGCCGAUUCCGACCUCUGGCGACUGUUGGCCGUGAAGUCCUCGAACAGACCUUCGAACCGAUCCACGACGCUAUAGCUUUGGGUACUUUCAGGACCCGUCUUGAAACACGGACCAAGGAGUCUAGCAUGUGCGCGAGUCAUUGGGAAUCACUAAACCUAAAGGCGCAAUGAAAGUGAAGGUCUCCGCCUAGCGGAGACCGAGGGAAGACGAGCGGUUCGCCCUUAAAAGCGGCCGCUCCGCAUUCCCGGGGCGUCUCGUUCUCAUUGCGAGAAGAGGCGCACCAAGAGCGUACACGCUGGGACCCGAAAGAUGGUGAACUAUGCCUGGUCAG
RNAcentral lists this ribosomal RNA (799 nucleotides) under Stenotoura sp. NZAC 03037675. Its description in RNAcentral is "partial large subunit ribosomal RNA". It matches the Rfam family "Eukaryotic large subunit ribosomal RNA", at positions 291 to 844 of the family's 3401-position model. The record is from RNAcentral. Lineage: Eukaryota; Metazoa; Arthropoda; Insecta; Coleoptera; Curculionidae.